Molecule: long non-coding RNA, 164 nt
Organism: Lolium rigidum
Lineage: Eukaryota; Viridiplantae; Streptophyta; Magnoliopsida; Poales; Poaceae
Exons: 3
Source: RefSeq, a predicted model, not a curated record
UCGACAAUUCAUCCAAGCAAGUGAUUCCAUAAAUUUCAAAUCUAGGAUGAGGCAUAUAAUAAUGCUCAGUAUUCAGGCAUAUGAAACUGCAUCUUACGCAUGUGAGCCAUUCAAAGCUGAUACAAGGUGAGCCACGCAAAACUGGAAUGUCUCUUUCGUUUGCU